CCUACGGGAGGCAGCAGUGAGGAAUAUUGGUCAAUGGGCGCAACCCUGACCGAGCAAUGCCGCGUGAAUGAUGAAGGUCUUCGGAUUGUAAAAUUCUGUCAAUGGGGAAGAAUGGUGUACGGAGUGGAAAGCCGUACACGUGACGGUACCCGUUUAGAAAGCCCCGGCUAACUAUGUGCCAGCAGCCGCGGUAAU
RNAcentral lists this ribosomal RNA (195 nucleotides) under uncultured bacterium. Its description in RNAcentral is "partial 16S ribosomal RNA". It matches the Rfam family "Bacterial small subunit ribosomal RNA", at positions 338 to 524 of the family's 1533-position model. The record is from RNAcentral.